GUGGGUGUGGCUCAGUGGUAGAGAGCUUGCCCAGCAUUCAGGAGAACCUGGGUUCCAUUCCCAGCACCAGCA
Molecule: transfer RNA, 72 nt
Filed under: Ictidomys tridecemlineatus (thirteen-lined ground squirrel)
Lineage: Eukaryota; Metazoa; Chordata; Mammalia; Rodentia; Sciuridae
Also listed under: 1 other name
Description: Spermophilus tridecemlineatus (thirteen-lined ground squirrel) tRNA
Rfam family: tRNA
About the family: Transfer RNA (tRNA) molecules are approximately 80 nucleotides in length. Their secondary structure includes four short double-helical elements and three loops (D, anti-codon, and T loops). Further hydrogen bonds mediate the characteristic L-shaped molecular structure. tRNAs have two regions of fundamental functional importance: the anti-codon, which is responsible for specific mRNA codon recognition, and the 3' end, to which the tRNAs corresponding amino acid is attached (by aminoacyl-tRNA synthetases). tRNAs cope with the degeneracy of the genetic code in two manners: having more than one tRNA (with a specific anti-codon) for a particular amino acid; and 'wobble' base-pairing, i.e. permitting non-standard base-pairing at the 3rd anti-codon position.
Source: Rfam by way of RNAcentral